UAGGGAAUAUUGGGCAAUGGGCGAAAGCCUGACCCAGCGACGCCGCGUGAGGGAUGAAGGUCUUCGGAUUGUAAACCUCUUUCAGUAGGGAAGAAGCGAAAGUGACGGUACCUAAAGAAGAAGCACCGGCUAACUAUGUGCCAGCAGCCGCGGUAAUACAUAGGGUGCAAGCGUUGUCCGGAAUUAUUGGGCGUAAAGAGCUCGUAGGUCGUUUGUCGCGUCGAUUGUGAAAAUCUGAGGCUCAACCUCAGACCUGCAGUCGAUACGGGCAAACUAGAGUGUGGUAGGGGAGACUGGAAUUCCUGGUGUAGCGGUGGAAUGCGCAGAUAUCAGGAGGAACACCAAUGGCGAAGGCAGGUCUCUGGGCCAUAACUGACACUGAGGAGCGAAAGUGCGGGGAGCGAACAGG
This 409-nucleotide ribosomal RNA is filed under the name uncultured bacterium. RNAcentral describes it as "bacterial SSU rRNA". It matches the Rfam family "Bacterial small subunit ribosomal RNA", at positions 355 to 776 of the family's 1533-position model. The record is from RNAcentral. RNAcentral also lists the same sequence under 1 other name.